Molecule: RNA transcript, 1012 nt
Organism: Suricata suricatta (meerkat)
Lineage: Eukaryota; Metazoa; Chordata; Mammalia; Carnivora; Herpestidae
Gene: SPMIP2
Gene name: chromosome 1 C4orf45 homolog
Exons: 6
Source: RefSeq, a predicted model, not a curated record
CGAGUCAUAGAUUGGGAGAACAGAGACGGCGGAGUCUUUGACUCUUUCUGAGCAAACUGGUCUGAUCUGAGGGAGCUGAGGAAGCUUAGUUUUGUCCAGUUGCACAGUUAAGACCUUAGCCAUGGCAUCUGUAUCAUUUCGAGAGCCUAUAUCUUCCACAGUGGGAAAACGGAUGAUUCUUACAGGCCCAGAUUAUAUAAAGGAUCAUCUACCGAAGGUCCAUCAGCACACUUCCUAUAUCGGAGAAAAGCGCCCAGCAUUAGAAAAGACUGGAGAUCUCAGAUAUUUAUGGAGGCCUGCCUCAAACAGUUGCUUACCAGCAAAAUAUAAAUACGAGUAUGUUGGUGAAAUUGGUUGGGGAAUACCAGAGUAUGAUUUUAUCAACCAAACACGGCUUCAGACUGGCUUUCACAUCAAGUGUGGAGAAAUAAGUCAAGCCACUAUUGACAAAAUAGGACACAGAUACCAAAAUCCAUGGCAACCAAAACCUCGUGUUAUGAAUGUGCAAGGAAGAUACAGUCGUGGUAGUAUUGCCUGGCACAUGGGUGAUCAUGAGAACACUGAUCAAAGGAACUCCAAAGCAGCCGUCCUUGUCAAGCAGAGCACGGCAGACCUGCCACGCGCUUCCACACCACACAAGCGGCCAACGCUACCAAGAAAGGAGAGGCCGCUGAAAGCUCUGAAGUAUGAGGAUAGAACACAUGGUAUCAGACUGUGCACUCUGCAGCUACGAACUACAUCUUGAGAUUAAGAGGCUACAUUGAUUCCUGGGUUUAUUGCACCAACAAUCCCUCCCUAGCCUGCCUGUGGCUGCAUCUGCAACAAGAAAAGGAAAAGUUCAGCUGCUAAGUCAGCAUGAUGCAGCUUGCUACUAGAAAGAAAAACUGCCCGCGAAAAAAGAAUGAAAUUGAGGCCAUCAUAACUCAUCAGUGCUUCUCCCAUGACCCCCGGGACACAGGUCCUGUGAGAGCAUGCUUCAGUCUAAAGCCCAAAUAAAUAUUUUGGCAAAAAA